Molecule: non-coding RNA, 20 nt
Filed under: Rattus norvegicus (Norway rat)
Lineage: Eukaryota; Metazoa; Chordata; Mammalia; Rodentia; Muridae
Source: RNAcentral
ACUCAGUGGCCUUGAUGAAU